GGCCGGAAUACAAUCAAAUCGUAUCUGCACCAUGCCUAUGACACCCUGCUCACACGUUCCCUCAACAGCCAGCCAAACUCCUCCUCUCUCUCCGUCAUCUCAGAUCCAGCCGCCCCUUCCAUCUCCUCUUCCACAACCGGCCACCGUCCCGAUCUGAAGGUCUCCGACCAGAUCAGCCUCCUCCCCACCACGGCGUGCGGUGAGGAGUCCCCGGAUCGCUCGCCGUCACCCAGUGCGGUGCAGAUCUGGUAGUCCGCCCUCACCAAGCAUUCGAUGCGUUGACGGCUCCUAGCACCAGAUACCACGACGAACGAGCUGUGUUCUGCCUCCUCCGGCUGCCGAGGACCACGGACGCCACUUCGUCUCACCGGCUAGCUUAGCAUCAGCACCGACCACUACUCACAGGUGUGCAAAAUUGUUGCUACGUCAUGGAUCUAGUAGCACAUGGAUCUAUCACUUUUGCUCUUGGUCUUGUGUUCUCCAGUGCGUGAUGAAUUUGAUGAUGAUGAAAUGGAGGCUGGACGACGUCUGCCACACGAGUUAACAUGCCAGGCUCCUGACUUACUUUAGUUCAUGUCUUCAUGACCAGCAAGUUGUCCUGGUUCCUGCAUAGAUUGUAAUUUUGUAGGCAGAAUUGUACAAGAACUUUUCGGAUGUCCCACUCGUACUUUGCAGAAUUUUGACGAAGGACUUGUAUGUUUUAACAGAACUUUGUUUUACAGAGUAGACACUCUGAAUAAAUUGCUAACGAACUUUAUUUUUGUA
This is a long non-coding RNA of Triticum urartu, 765 nucleotides long. RefSeq lists it as uncharacterized. Lineage: Eukaryota; Viridiplantae; Streptophyta; Magnoliopsida; Poales; Poaceae. The record is from RefSeq and is a predicted model, not a curated record.